Molecule: unclassified non-coding RNA, 345 nt
Filed under: soil metagenome
Description: partial contains 5.8S ribosomal RNA, internal transcribed spacer 2, and large subunit ribosomal RNA
Rfam family: 5.8S ribosomal RNA (bases 1-119)
Source: RNAcentral
GAUGAAGACGUAGCAAAAUGCGAUAAGUAAUGUGAAUUGCAGAAUUCAGUGAAUCAUCGAAUCUUUGAACGCACAUUGCGCCCGCCAGUAUUCUGGCGGGCAUGCCUGUUCGAGCGUCAUUUCAACCCUCAAGCCCUCGGGUUUGGUGUUGGGGAUCGGCGAGCCUUUCUGGCAAGCCGGCCCCGAAAUCUAGUGGCGGUCUCGCUGCAGCCUCCAUUGCGUAGUAGUAAAACCCUCGCAACUGGAACGCGGCGCGGCCAAGCCGUUAAACCCCCAACUUCUGAAUGUUGACCUCGGAUCAGGUAGGAAUACCCGCUGAACUUAAGCAUAUCAAUAAGCGGAGGA